RNAcentral lists this transfer RNA (73 nucleotides) under Ovis aries (sheep). It matches the Rfam family "tRNA". From Rfam's summary of the family: Transfer RNA (tRNA) molecules are approximately 80 nucleotides in length. Their secondary structure includes four short double-helical elements and three loops (D, anti-codon, and T loops). Further hydrogen bonds mediate the characteristic L-shaped molecular structure. tRNAs have two regions of fundamental functional importance: the anti-codon, which is responsible for specific mRNA codon recognition, and the 3' end, to which the tRNAs corresponding amino acid is attached (by aminoacyl-tRNA synthetases). tRNAs cope with the degeneracy of the genetic code in two manners: having more than one tRNA (with a specific anti-codon) for a particular amino acid; and 'wobble' base-pairing, i.e. permitting non-standard base-pairing at the 3rd anti-codon position. Lineage: Eukaryota; Metazoa; Chordata; Mammalia; Artiodactyla; Bovidae. The record is from Rfam by way of RNAcentral.
UCCCUGGUGAUCCAGCAGUUAAGACUCUGCACUUCCACUGCAGGGUGUGUGGGUUCGAUCCCUGUUUGGGGAA